RNAcentral lists this transfer RNA (74 nucleotides) under Saprospiraceae bacterium. Its description in RNAcentral is "tRNA-Arg". It matches the Rfam family "tRNA". Rfam says of the family: Transfer RNA (tRNA) molecules are approximately 80 nucleotides in length. Their secondary structure includes four short double-helical elements and three loops (D, anti-codon, and T loops). Further hydrogen bonds mediate the characteristic L-shaped molecular structure. tRNAs have two regions of fundamental functional importance: the anti-codon, which is responsible for specific mRNA codon recognition, and the 3' end, to which the tRNAs corresponding amino acid is attached (by aminoacyl-tRNA synthetases). tRNAs cope with the degeneracy of the genetic code in two manners: having more than one tRNA (with a specific anti-codon) for a particular amino acid; and 'wobble' base-pairing, i.e. permitting non-standard base-pairing at the 3rd anti-codon position. The record is from RNAcentral. Lineage: Bacteria; Pseudomonadati; Bacteroidota; Saprospiria; Saprospirales; Saprospiraceae.
GGAUCCGUAGCUUAGCUGGAUAGAGCACCUGACUACGGAUCAGGAGGUCGCAGGUUCGAAUCCUGCCGGAUUCA